UAGGUAGCGCCUCGUGAAUUCAUCUCCGGGGGUAGAGCACUGUUUCGGCAAGGGGGUCAUCCCGACUUACCAACCCGAUGCAAACUGCGAAUACCGGAGAAUGUUAUCACGGGAGACACACGGCGGGUGCUAACGUCCGUCGUGAAGAGGGAAACAACCCAGACCGCCAGCUAAGGUCCCAAAGUCAUGGUUAAGUGGGAAACGAUGUGGGAAGGCCCAGACAGCCAGGAUGUUGGCUUAGAAGCAGCCAUCAUUUAAAGAAAGCGUAAUAGCUCACUGGUCGAGUCGGCCUGCGCGGAAGAUGUAACGGGGCUAAACCAUGCAC
Molecule: ribosomal RNA, 325 nt
Filed under: Escherichia coli
Lineage: Bacteria; Pseudomonadati; Pseudomonadota; Gammaproteobacteria; Enterobacterales; Enterobacteriaceae
Description: partial 23S ribosomal RNA
Rfam family: Bacterial large subunit ribosomal RNA
Source: RNAcentral